This 497-nucleotide ribosomal RNA is filed under the name uncultured bacterium. RNAcentral's name for it is "partial 16S ribosomal RNA". It matches the Rfam family "Bacterial small subunit ribosomal RNA", at positions 28 to 507 of the family's 1533-position model. The record is from RNAcentral.
GAUGAACGCUGGCGGCGUGCCUAAUACAUGCAAGUCGAGCGAACAGACCACGAGCUUGCUGCGCUCACGUUAGCGGCGCGCGUGUGUGUCACGCGUGGAUACCCUACCUCUCACACGGGUAUACCUUCGGGAAUCCGGCGCUAAUACGGUAUAAUAUAUUGAACCGCAUGGUUCAGUAGUGAAUGUCGGUUUUGCUGUCACUUCUAGAUGGAUCAGCUCCUUAUUAGCUAGUUGGUAAGGUAAGGGGUUACCAAGGCGACGGUGCGUAUGCGACCUGGGAGGGUGAUCGCCCACACUGGAACUUAAACACCGUCCUGACUCCUACGGUAGGCAGCAGUAUGGAAUCUUCCGCAAUGGGCGAAAGCCUUACGCAGCAACGCCACGUGAGUGAUGAAGGUCUUCGGAUCGUAAAACUCUCUUAUUAGUGAAAAACAAAUUUGUAAGUAACUAUGCACUUCUUGACGGUACCUAAUCAAAAAGCAACGGCUAACUACGUG